RNAcentral lists this transfer RNA (75 nucleotides) under Campylobacter jejuni. Its description in RNAcentral is "tRNA-Gly". It matches the Rfam family "tRNA". Rfam says of the family: Transfer RNA (tRNA) molecules are approximately 80 nucleotides in length. Their secondary structure includes four short double-helical elements and three loops (D, anti-codon, and T loops). The record is from RNAcentral. Lineage: Bacteria; Pseudomonadati; Campylobacterota; Epsilonproteobacteria; Campylobacterales; Campylobacteraceae.
GCGGGAAUAGCUCAGGGGUAGAACACAACCUUGCCAAGGUUGGGGUCGCGGGUUCGAAUCUCGUUUCCCGCUCCA